GGCGUCCGCUUUGUAAUCUCAAGAAGUGUUUUCCGCUUCGGACCAUGCCUAAGUCCCUUGGAAAAGGGCAUCAUAGAGGGUGAUAAUCCCGUACAUGGCAUGGAGCGCCCGAAGCUUUGUGAUACGCUUUCUACGAGUCGAGUUGUUUGGGAAUGCAGCUCAAAAUGGGUGGUAAAUGCCAUCUAAGGCUAAAUAUUGGGGAGAGACCGAUAGCGAACAAGUACAGUGAUGGAAAGAUGAAAAGAACUUUGAAAAGAGAGUUAAACAGUACGUGAAAUUGCCAAAAGGGAAGGGUAGGAGGUCAGAGAUGCGUCUUGGGAUUCAGCCUUGCUUUUGCAUGGUGUUUUUCCCAAGUUGCAGGCCAACGUCGGUUUUGGGCACUGGAGAAGGGUAGGAGGAACGUGGCACCUCUCGGGGUGUGUUAUAGCCUCCUACUGGAUACAGCGACCGAGACCGAGGAACGCAGCGUACUCGUAAGAGCGGGCCUUUUGGCACCUUUACGCUUAGGGCGUUGGCAUAAUGGCCCUCUACCACCCGUCUUGAAACACGG
Molecule: ribosomal RNA, 550 nt
Filed under: Ustilago sp. DMKU-SP19
Lineage: Eukaryota; Fungi; Basidiomycota; Ustilaginomycetes; Ustilaginales; Ustilaginaceae
Description: LSU rRNA
Rfam family: Eukaryotic large subunit ribosomal RNA
Source: RNAcentral